Molecule: long non-coding RNA, 897 nt
Filed under: Homo sapiens (human)
Lineage: Eukaryota; Metazoa; Chordata; Mammalia; Primates; Hominidae
Description: HSALNT0259067
Source: RNAcentral
GCGCAGUACAACCCGGAGCCCCCGCCCCCACGCACACAUUACUCCAACAUUGAGGCCAACGAGAGUGAGGAGGUCCGGCAGUUCCGGAGACUCUUUGCCCAGCUGGCUGGAGAUGACAUGGAGGUCAGCGCCACAGAACUCAUGAACAUUCUCAAUAAGGUUGUGACACGACGUAAGUGACCGGGGUUAAGGAAUAGGGUAGAUUCAGAGGCAGAGGGGUCAGAGAGGAUUUGACCUCUGGCCUCUGACUUUCAACCUGUUACCCACAGACCCUGAUCUGAAGACUGAUGGUUUUGGCAUUGACACAUGUCGCAGCAUGGUGGCCGUGAUGGAUGUAUCCUUGGGGGCAGUGUGGGAGAGGCCCUGGGUGGACAGAGAGUUUUUUGAGAGUAUGUUUGGGAAGCCAACAUGUAGCUUUCAUAUCCACAGAUGUGGAAAUGCAUUCAUCAGAACACAGUCACCUGCAGACAUGUGGCGGUAAAUCAUAACAAUGCCAGCUGUCACAGCUGGCACUUUAAUUAUAUAAAGUGACCGAACCGUCAUAACCACCCUGUUGGACAGGCACAAUUAUUAUAUUCCAUUUUACAGAAGAGGAAACUGAGGCUCAGUUUCCUGAAAGAAGCAGUCAUUUGUCUCAAGUUAUAGAUAAAGGUCAGGCAUGGUGGCUCAUGCCUGUAAUCCCAACACUUUGGGAGGCUAAGGUGGGCAGAUCACCUGAGGUCAGGAGUUUGAGACCAGCCUGGCCAACAUGGUGAAACCCCAUCUCUAUUAAAAAUACAAAAAUUGGCCAGGCACGGUGGCUCACACCUGUAAUCCCAGCACUUUGGGAGGCCGAGGCGGGCGGAUCACGAGAUCAGGAGAUUGAGACCAUCCUGGCUAACACAGUGAAACCCUGUC